Molecule: ribosomal RNA, 1578 nt
Filed under: Triticum aestivum (bread wheat)
Lineage: Eukaryota; Viridiplantae; Streptophyta; Magnoliopsida; Poales; Poaceae
Description: partial small subunit ribosomal RNA
Source: RNAcentral
AUGCUUUCACAACUUGACUUCAAAAUAUUUGGUUUGGAGACCAUCAAAGAUCAAUAUGUGCAUGAUGCUGAUUUUAAAGAUGUAAUGCAGAAUUGUAAAGAAGGAAGAAUGUGGAACAAGUUUGUUGUUAACGAUGGAUUUGUGUUUCGUGCUAACAAGCUAUGCAUUCCAGCUAGCUCCGUUCGUCUUCUGUUGUUGCAGGAGGCGCAUGGAGGAGGAUUAAUGGGACACUUUGGCGUGAAGAAGACGGAGGACGUACUUGCUACACAUUUCUUUUGGCCAAAGAUGAGACGGGAUGUUGAGCGUUUUAUUGCUCGCUGCACUACAUGUCAAAAAGCUAAGUCACGACUCAAUCCUCAUGGUUUAUAUAUGCCUUUGCCUGUACCUAGUGUUCCUUGGGAGGAUAUAUCUAUGGACUUUGUUUUAGGUUUACCUCGAACAAAGAAGGGGAGGGAUAGCAUAUUUGUUGUCGUGGAUAGAUUCUCGAAAAUGGCACACUUUAUACCAUGUCAUAAAAGCGAUGAUGCUGUUAAUGUUGCUGAUUUGUUCUUUCGUCAAAUUAUUCGCUUGCAUGGUGUGCCAAAUACUAUUGUUUCAGAUCGUGAUACUAAAUUUCUUAGCCACUUUUGGAGAUGUUUAUGGGCUAAGUUGGGGACUAAACUGCUUUUUAGUACUACUUGUCACCCCCAAACUGAUGGACAAACUGAAGUAGUCAAUAGAACGUUGUCUACUAUGCUUAGGGCUGUUUUGAAGCAUAAUAAGAAAAUGUGGGAGGAAUGCUUGCCUCAUAUUGAAUUUGCUUAUAAUCGUUCAUUGCAUUCUACUACUAAGAUGUGCCCUUUUGAAGUUGUGUAUGGUUUCCUACCUCGUGCACCUAUUGAUUUGUUGCCUCUUCCAUCUUCGGAGAAGGUUAAUUUUGAUGCUAAACAACGUGCUGAAUUGAUUUUAAAAAUGCAUGAGUUAACUAAGGAAAACAUUGAGCGCAUGAAUGCUAAAUAUAAACUUGCUGGAGAUAAGGGUAGAAAACAUGUUGUGUUUGCACCUGGAGAUCUUGUUUGGUUACAUUUGCGUAAGGAUAGAUUUCCUGAUUUGCGCAAAUCAAAGUUAAUGCCACGUGCUGAUGGUCCCUUUAAGGUGUUAGAGAAAAUAAAUGAUAAUGCAUAUAAACUUGAGCUGCCUGCAGAUUUUGGGGUUAGUCCCACUUUUAACAUUGCAGAUUUGAAGCCUUAUUUGGGUGAGGAAGAUGAACUUCCGUCGAGGACGACUUCAUUUCAAGAAGGGGAGGAUGAGGAGGACAUCAAUACAAUUGUUACACCCACAGCCCCUGCUGCUAUACAUACUGGACCAAUUACUAGAGCUCGUGCACGCCAACUAAAUUACCAGGUACUUUCGUUUCUUGGUAAUGAUUCUAAUGUUCAUGAGAAUAUGAUGCUGCCUAAAUUGGAUACAUUUGUUUUGCUUACAAAUGAAGGGCCUAGCUUGGAGAAGGAUGAACAUUGGAGCAAGAACAAGCAUGGAGAUGAUGGCAUGCGCAAGGGGAACAAGAACGAGUUACAAGUGAUGAUUUCAGGACUUUGA